GACGAACGCUGGCGGCGUGCCUAAUACAUGCAAGUCGAGCGAAGUUUUUCUGGUGCUUGCACUAGAAAAACUUAGCGGCGAACGGGUGAGUAACACGUAAAGAACCUGCCUCAUAGACUGGGUCAACUAUUGGAAACGAUAGCUAAUACCGGAUAACAGCAUUAACUGCAUGGUUGAUGUUUAAAAGUUGGUUUUGCUAACACUAUGAGAUGGCUUUGCGGUGCAUUAGCUAGUUGGUGGGGUAAAGGCCUACCAAGGCGACGAUGCAUAGCCGACCUGAGAGGGUGAUCGGCCACACUGGGACUGAGACACGGCCCAGACUCCUACGGGAGGCAGCAGUAGGGAAUCUUCCGCAAUGGGCGAAAGCCUGACGGAGCAACGCCGCGUGAGUGAAGAAGGAUUUCGGUUCGUAAAGCUCUGUUGUUAGGGAAGAAUGAUUGUGUAGUAACUAUACACAGUAGAGACG
Molecule: ribosomal RNA, 466 nt
Filed under: Gemella haemolysans
Lineage: Bacteria; Bacillati; Bacillota; Bacilli; Caryophanales; Gemellaceae
Description: bacterial SSU rRNA
Rfam family: Bacterial small subunit ribosomal RNA
Source: RNAcentral